GCACGGCGCUCACGCGACCAUCGACGGGCUAUGAAGGAGGAGGAGCCAUGGCAUGGAGGUGGUGGCCACUUGGUAGCCUUCGUCUGCGGCGUCAUACCACUGUCGGGGUGCCGCGCAAGAGGUCAGGUCCGCCGCCACCGCGAGCCAGGGGACGCCCGUUGGUGAGCCUGCGUGCAGGAAGCCGACGGGGGGCACGGCGUCAACAAGCCGACAGGAGGCGGGGUCUUCCCGCUGGGAUGGAGGAGCAGGCGAUGGCCAGGAGGCCACCGGUGGGGGAGCAACGAGGCCCGAGCUCUAGGCUCCGCACACAUUGCGGGAUGGAGAAGAGGCCGGCGUGGGGCGCAAGGAGCAGCAGGGGAAGAACGGUGGGGCUUUCAUCUCCUCUCUCAUCCCGACACCUGCAACCUCGCCACUGGUGCUCGCUCGGCCGGUGUAUGGGUGGCGGCCGGGAGUUUGGCCCUCGGCACGAAUUCGAGCCCCGAGUCUAGCUGACGAGCCCCAUGGUUGGUUUGUCCUCCUACCUCCAGAUCCCCUCUUACUCAUUCUCCUCCUCUCCCCAUAUUUUGCUCUGUUGUUUGUGUUCCUUCAAUUUGCAGGGAUUGUGGGAAGCAAAUGUACGUGGGGAGUUGUUCUACUCUCUCCCUUGAGGUGGGUUGAGUUGCGGUUUAGGUGGAGACGUUGGUGCUGUUUGAGACGCCCACUAGGUUCGCCGUUUUCAAGGUUCUGAACAAGGGCAAGCUCGACAAGAUCAAGGAUCUAUGGAAGGAGUUCAACACAUCGGACUCGGCGAGAAAGUCAAUUAUCCAUUUCGUUCAGCAUGGUGGCCAAGAUGCGGCAGCCCCAUGCUCUGUUCCGAUGGGCCUCCUCUGCUCGAUGGUUGACGCUGGUUGAGUUUGGUACGGUUUCCUGUUGUUGCUUGUGUCGAGCCAUGGGUCCGUCUCUCCUUCGCACUGAGCGUAAUUCUCCUGUCGCUGGCGCUUCUUCUUCUCGUCCGUCCUGCUGCUUACCAAAGUGCUUCUGCUUGCUGCCUCAGGUUGUACGAUCUCUUCUGUCACUGUCAUUCGACUCAUUAAGGUUUCUUCUUUUCUUUCUACUACAUGUGUGCAUGUUUUACUUUCAGUAUCUUCUAUGUCAUGCUGUCUGCCUUGGUGAUCUUUUAAAUAUCUGUAUUUUGUGCUGAUCGUUUAAAUGUUCCGGAUAUGGUUGGGCGUUGUGUGUUGUUCGUUCUCGGUGCUACUUAUAUUUCGUGUAUGCGUGUGAACAGGGUGUGUAUGCUUGUUUCCGUUGUUAUACCUGUUUUGGAGGCUGUGGGUAGCUCGAUGCGCUUUGCCGUCCCUUUCAUAUCUGUGUGUAGUCGGAGGAUGGCUCUGUUCUUGCUGGUGUAGAACUCGAGCUCCCAGUGGGACAGAUCUGGUCCUAUGGAGAAGCUUGAUGAACAAGCCGAGGCAAGCUCUGGUGGUAAAGCUGAAACUUCAUCACCUACUGUUGAAGAAAAGGAUGAUGACAAUGACCAGGCUCAAGUGACCAGAAACAAAAGAAUGAAGUGGCAAGCAUAGAAGAAAUGCAGAGCCAGUUUCCCUCGGAUACAGUGUAUUACACUGAGUCUGAGGAUACACAACAGUCUAUUGAGGUUAAUUGAUUCAUUGACGACACCGUCAACCGAAACUGCAAUUGUGCAUUCAGUUACAAGUAGUGUGCUUGAAUUUGAGGAUGUGGACGAAGAAUUUGAUGAAUCCGUCGAUUAUGACGCAAUGUUUGUUGAAGAACAUGUUGAAAUUACGGAUGAAGAGGAAGCUGCGGAUGAAGGAGAUGAAGAGGAAGAUGAGGAUGAGGAUGAGGAUGGAGAGGAAGACGGGGAUGAGGAUGAAGAGGAAGAUGGAGCUGAGGAAGGACAUGCAGUUGGUUCUAAGAGAAAGCUCACAUCAAUUGUUUGGGUUGAUUUCAAGAAAGUGAAGGUCCGUGGGAGAUGGAAGGCACAAUGUCUUCAUUGUAAGAAGAAACUUGGAGGGGAAUCAAAGAAUGGGACAAAGCAUCUUCAUGUUCAUUUGGUGGCUUGUACUAUUUGAGCCAAUCUUCUUUGAGGUUCAGUUCUAGUAGCCAUGGAAAAGUUUCGGUGGAGAACUAUACUUUUAACCAAGUUUUUGUUAGAAAGAUGCUUGCUUCCAUGAUUGUGCUGCAUGAGUACCCCUUAUCCAUAGUUGAUCAUACGGGGUUUCAAAGAUUUGUUAGUGCAUUGCAAACCUUGUUUACUAUGGUGACAAGAAACACUAUUAGGAGGGAUAUUUUGGACGCUUACAAAGUUGAAAGGAAGAAGGCUAUCGAGUAGAUGGCUGCAAAUCGAUCAAGGGUGGCUAUCACUACUGAUUUAUGGACGGCUGGCAAUCAAAAGAAAGGAUACAUGGAAAUCACGGGCCAUUUCAUUGAUGACUCUUGGAAAAUUAGGAGUGUUAUCAUGAGGUAUAUGAUGUUAUUUUAUCGAUAGUUGUUUUUGCAGUACGUUCUUUGCUGUUGUUUUUAUUGAUAUUUGAUGUUGUAGUACAUUGUUUGGUGUUGUUUUAUCGAUAUUUGCUGUUGUAGUACAUUGUUUGGUGUUGUUUUUAUUAAUAU
This is a long non-coding RNA of Triticum dicoccoides, 2607 nucleotides long. RefSeq lists it as uncharacterized. Lineage: Eukaryota; Viridiplantae; Streptophyta; Magnoliopsida; Poales; Poaceae. The record is from RefSeq and is a predicted model, not a curated record. The transcript has 12 exons.